CAGCAGCCGCGGGAAUACGGAGGGUGCAAGCGUUAAUCGGAAUUACUGGGCGUAAAGCGUGCGUAGGCGGCUUCUUAAGUCGGAUGUGAAAUCCCUGAGCUUAACUUAGGAAUUGCAUUCGAUACUGGGAAGCUAGAGUAUGGGAGAGGAUGGUAGAAUUCCAGGUGUAGCGGUGAAAUGCGUAGAGAUCUGGAGGAAUACCGAUGGCGAAGGCAGCCAUCUGGCCUAAUACUGACGCUGAGGUACGAAAGCAUGGGGAGCAAACAGGAUUAGAUACCCCGGUAGUCCCUGUCUCUUAUAC
This 301-nucleotide ribosomal RNA is filed under the name uncultured bacterium. RNAcentral's name for it is "partial 16S ribosomal RNA". It matches the Rfam family "Bacterial small subunit ribosomal RNA", at positions 509 to 807 of the family's 1533-position model. The record is from RNAcentral.